RNAcentral lists this ribosomal RNA (427 nucleotides) under uncultured eukaryote. RNAcentral's name for it is "SSU rRNA". It matches the Rfam family "Eukaryotic small subunit ribosomal RNA", at positions 602 to 1043 of the family's 1831-position model. The record is from RNAcentral.
UAUUAAAGUUAGUUGUCAGUUAAAAGUACUCCGUAGUUGAAGUUCUGAUUGCUCAGGUUUCCAGCCUUAGGCGGAGAUACUGACAGUCAUCCGCUUGCAAACAUAUGUUCGAUCUUCACCGGUUGGCUAUGUGAGUAAGCACUUUACCUUGAGAAAAACAGAGUGUUCCAGGCAGGUUUGUCCGGGAUGCAUUAGCAUGGAAUAAUAGAACAUGACUGAAGUCGAUUUAUUGGUUUAAGGCUUUAGUAAUGAUUAAUAGGAACAGUCGGGGGCAUUCGUACUCAGCAGUCAGAGGUGAAAUUCUAAGAUUUGCUGAAGACGAACUAAUGCGAAAGCAUUUGCCAAGGAUGUUUUCAUUAAUCAAGAACGAAAGUUAGGGGAUCAAAGACGAUCAGAUACCGUCCUAGUCUUAACUAUAAACUAUGCC